This 774-nucleotide ribosomal RNA is filed under the name uncultured Alphaproteobacteria bacterium. RNAcentral describes it as "bacterial SSU rRNA". It matches the Rfam family "Bacterial small subunit ribosomal RNA", at positions 54 to 873 of the family's 1533-position model. Lineage: Bacteria; Pseudomonadati; Pseudomonadota; Alphaproteobacteria. The record is from RNAcentral.
CAUGACAGUCGAACGCCCCGCAAGGGGAGUGGCAGACGGGUGAGUAACGCGUGUGGAAUCUACCCUUUUCUACGGAACAACUGAGGGAAACUUCAGCUAAUACCGUAUACGGCCGAGAGGCGAAAGAUUUAUCGGAGAAGGAUGAGCCCGCGUUGGAUUAGCUAGUUGGUGGGGUAAAGGCCUACCAAGGCGACGAUCCAUAGCUGGUCUGAGAGGAUGAUCAGCCACACUGGGACUGAGACACGGCCCAGACUCCUACGGGAGGCAGCAGUGGGGAAUAUUGGACAAUGGGCGCAAGCCUGAUCCAGCCAUGCCGCGUGAGUGAUGAAGGCCCUAGGGUUGUAAAGCUCUUUCACCGGUGAAGAUAAUGACGGUAACCGGAGAAGAAGCCCCGGCUAACUUCGUGCCAGCAGCCGCAGUAAUACGAAGGGGGCUAGCGUUGUUCGGAUUUCUGGGCGUAAGCGCACGUGGCCGACUAUUAGUCAGGGGUGAAAUCCCGGGGCUCACCCCUGAACUGCCUUUGAACUGGUGUCUUGAGUUCGAGAGAUGUGAGUGGAUUCCGAGUGUGAGGUGAAUUCGUAUAUUUCUGAGGAACACCAGUGGCGAAGGUGCUCACUGGCUCGAUACUGACGCUAUGUGCAAAGCGUGGGAGCAACAGGAUAGAUCCCUGGUAUCCACCCGUAACUAUGCAGCUACCGUCUGCAGUAUACUGUUCGUGCUCGCUACGCAUAACUCUCACUGGGAGACGGCGCAGAUAAACUCAAUGAUUGCGGG